This 392-nucleotide ribosomal RNA is filed under the name uncultured bacterium. RNAcentral describes it as "bacterial SSU rRNA". It matches the Rfam family "Bacterial small subunit ribosomal RNA", at positions 29 to 422 of the family's 1533-position model. The record is from RNAcentral.
AUUAAACGCUGGCGGCAUGCCUUACACAUGCAAGUCGAACGGCAGCACGGGGGCAACCCUGGUGGCGAGUGGCGGACGGGUGAGUAAAGCAUCGGAACGUAUCCUGGAGUGGGGGAUAACGUAGCGAAAGUUACGCUAAUACCGCAUAUUCUGUGAGCAGGAAAGCAGGGGAUCGCAAGACCUUGCGCUCUGGGAGCGGCCGAUGUCGGAUUAGCUAGUUGGUGGGGUAAAGGCCUACCAAGGCGACGAUCUGUAGCGGGUCUGAGAGGAUGAUCCGCCACACUGGAACUGAGACACGGUCCAGACUCCUACGGGAGGCAGCAGUGGGGAAUUUUGGACAAUGGGCGCAAGCCUGAUCCAGCCAUGCCGCGUGAGUGAAGAAGGCCUGGUGU